Molecule: ribosomal RNA, 407 nt
Filed under: uncultured bacterium
Lineage: Bacteria
Description: partial 16S ribosomal RNA
Rfam family: Bacterial small subunit ribosomal RNA
Source: RNAcentral
GACGAACGCUGGCGGCGUGCCUAAUACAUGCAAGUAGAACGCAGUUGCGAACGGGUAAGUAACGCGUAGGUAACUGCCUCAUAGCGGGGGAUAACUAUUGGAAACGAUAGCUAAUACCGCAUACUGUGAGAUGGACCUGCGUUGUAUUAGCUAGUUGGUUAGGUAAAGGCUCACCAAGGCGACGAUACAUAGCCGGCCUGUGAGGGUUAUCGGCUACACUGGGACUGAGACAACGCCCAGACUCCUACCGGAGGCAGCCGUAGGGAAUCUUCGGACAUGGACCGAAGUCUGACCGCGCACCGCCGCGUGAUUGAAGAAGGUUUUCGGGUCGUAAAGCUCUGUUGUUAUAGAAGCGUUAACUACCCAGAAAGGGACGGCUAACUACGUGCCAGCAGCCGCGGUAAUUC